UAAAAGAAGGCUUGCAGCUACCAGAAAGUCAUUAAGGCAUUAGUUUCUCUGAGAAGACAGAUCUGGAGAAAAUUCAAGAAAAUGAAUCUCUUUCUCUAUAUAUAAACAAGGUGGAGUGGAAGACAAUGCCUGCAUUUAUGGUUAACUAUAAGUGAUACACUAGGAAGAUGAUGGUAUUCAGACACACACAAACAAUUUGAUUCAGACAGAUUGGAUACAAGAUUUCAACCAGCAUAAGGAGAACAGAACAACUUGGAUCCCAGUGAGAAUGAACAGACCUGAUUUACAAGAUUCUGAUACUUGCUGCUCAUGGCCUUUUAAAAGUACUUUCUAUAAAAUCCUGUGCGGAUGAAAGAUUUUUUCCAUGAAGACAAAGUUCAAAAUACAACAAAAUUCAAAUGUGAUUAUCUGAUGUUUAUUGUAAUAGAAGGGGCAACAUUUACCUGAAUCUCUAUUCCUUGAGCAUCCAAAUCUUCCACUGCAGUGGAAGACUGCAAGAUCAGGCCCUGAGCCAACAUGAAGUAACAUUUUUUACAAGCAAAUAAGGAAGCCAAUGUAACUCUCGACUGUGUGAUAACAUUCAGGAGAUCACGGCAUUUUUCAGUCUUACCCAGCUCUUAUAAAUUAACGUGGAACCAAUGUCUCCAUUUAACCAAAGCUCUAUGCGCAGAAAGGGAGAAACCUACAGGGUUCAUGUGGCAGCUGAAAGGAAGUGUGCUAUGUAUUAAGGCUAGCAGAACAUCAGCCCCUGCCAUAAUAGCCAAAUGGCGCAAGUGAGUGCCUUGUAUCUAAUGUACCAUGGAUAUGUUUUUUUCCAUUUGGUUGUUCCUCUCUUUUUGAUCUGUUCCUUUUCUCACAGACUCUGAGAUGGAACAUAAACCCAAUAAUGCUUUGGUCAAACUACAGUAAUGGAGAUGGGCUCAAAGUAAGGUAAAAUGAGUUCACCUGCUCCUAGUGAGAAGGGAUCAUAUAAACUGUAAUGUUGACUUCUCUCUCUUUCUCUCUCAGCCAAACUCAGGUUGGCAUGAGCGGGCACAAUUCCCAUUGACUUCAGCAAGAGUUGCACUUUCUUACAGCAAGCUGAGUUUGUUUCUCUCCCUUUUCUCUUCCAACACUUCCUCAGUCAAACAAAUCUGGCAUAUUUGCUAGCUAUCUAGCACCCAAAAAUUCGGUGGGGAAAACAAAUGGGAGAAAAUGAGAAAACACCAAGCAAUGUUUCACAGAUGAAAAGAGAGAAGUCCUCCUUUGUAUUGGGAAUGACUUUUUGUUACCCUAAGAGGUUUCACACUGAGGUGUAAGAAAGGAAGUUAUUGGAAUCGGUACCAUUGUUAUAUUCAUCUUCCUUAAACACUAGCUGAACUAAAUUGUAACCUAACAUCAUGUAAUCAUCAAUGAUUUGGAUGCACAGCUCCAUGGAGAUGCUGCAGCAUGGGAAAUUCAGCAAGUAAAAACAACCAAGCACUACAUGAUUAGUUAGAACUGUUGUCUUGGUCUAUGUUUGGAGGAUUGUGCCAUGAUAUUGUUAGGCCCUUCAUCGAGGAAAAAUUCCAGCAAUAAUACAGAAGAAGAUUGAAUUUGCUUGAAUACUCCUGGCUAGUGCUGUGCAAAAAUGUCCAGUUUCAUUUUGUAUGUUUUCAGUUCUAGCCCCUUCUCAGAAGAAAUGGGCCCCAGUCAGAAAAUUUGACUCAGAGCGAGAAAGAGAGACACCAUCAGUGAAGUUUGGAUCCUCGUUUGAAUUCCAAACCCUUCCUCAAAGUUUGUGUGUUUUUUCAGAUCCAGGAUAUCAUCAGUUCAGGUCCAUCUCUACUUCCGAGUAAACUUUCAUUUUCAUCAAAAAGAAAUGAUGCAAUCCAAAGCUAACUUAACUGUGGGGAGGAGGUUUCUUCAAAGCUCUGCAAGAUGAUGUGUUUGAGUGGAAGUAGGAUGCCAGACUUCUUUGAAAAAAUUCUUUCAGGGUGAGAGAAUAGGUUGUGGCUGGAAGAAAGAAAAUUAAAAGCUCACAUAUGAUCUCUGUCAUGACCUCCUAUGACAAUUACAGACUACUGGAACAAUAGAACAUCUGCCUCAAGUGUGAAACUCAUGUGAGCAGGAGAUGUAGGAAACUGAGCCAUGAAUUUAGAGUUCAUUUACAGACGAGACCAGGAUGACCACAAACUUUAGUGACUGCAGACCAAAACACAAAUUCAAUUUUUCAUUAGCAUUAAAAUCAAGUUUAUGAUUUGGAGCUUCUUGAGUUAUCUUUAGUGUUUGUUUUUAACAUAGCUCUCAUUAGACUCUGUCCAGAUCAUCAAUAUUGCCAGUUAGUCAUGCACCAAAAAAUCAUUAUUAUUUUUAGAACUUAAUCUUUGGUUGUUUUCAUUUGACUUUUUUAGUUUUUUAUCUUUUAGGGUUUGUGUUUUCAAACUUUUCUCUGCAACUAUGGAGACUAACAACUUAAUUUUUAAAUGAAAGCUGAGAUUCUCAUGUACUCACAUGAUUCCAAUACCUGGGAAUUUAAGAGAAAUUUGCAAGAGUUAACAACAUUGGUACUUUACCUUUUGCCAAAGAUUCCACUACAGCAUCACUUGCAGCAAUCUAAUUCAUGUAGGUAGAUUCCUAUGCCUGCAUGGAAUCCCACCGAAGUCAAUGGGGUUCUGUUUGGCCACAGGAAUCCACUUACACCAAAAAGUUUGCAGGAUGGAGGCCUUAGAUUGUAACAUGUUUGUACAGUACCUUGUACAAUGGUGUCUUAUUCCUGAUUCAAUUAUAAAUAAUAAUAAGUACUUCACAUUGUUAGGCCUUGUCAUGAUACCUCCUAUAUGUCUUCUUUCUCUCUGAGGAGGUGUGAUUCUGUUAUCUGUCUUCCCAUCUUUUUGAACACCAAUAAAUAAAUAUUGCAGUCUCUCAGCAGUUUAUAAUUCUUCAGCUAAUAAAUCACUUUUCCCUUUUUCUAAGAAGUCCUAUGAUCUGCUUUGCUGGCCUCUUGUUGUUUAUGUACAGCACCUGAAAAAAUCUGUUAUAAUUUCAUGUUAUCCUCUUCUAAAAGUUUCCUUUCAUUCUCUGCCUUUGCUUUUCUUAUCACUUUUUUAUGCUCUCUUAACUUUAUUAUGCAAUCAUUCCUAUCCUGCUCUGCAUUUGAUGUUUUAUAACCCAUGUCUGCCUCUUUCUCACCCUUGAUUACUCUUACAUUUCUCUGUUCCUUCACACUGGCCCCCUUUGAAAAAAAUUCCUUGUGCAAUUAUUGCUAGAUGGUGUGCAUAUUGCUAGAUGGCUUGCAUAACCCUUGGGCAUACAUUAAUUUAUCUUUGAACACUUUCUAUUUCCCCUUUGUGUCCUUUCCCUCCACUGCUUUAUCCUGUUCAAUUUCACCCUGCACUUCCUGCAUUCUUCCAAAUUUUGCUCUGCUGAAAUCCAAUCUUCUUGUUUUCUCAGUUUCUUAGUUGAACAUUAAUCCCAAUGAAAUUCUUAACUAGAUUACAGUCCUAGUUGUUUAGAUGGUUCUCCCGCCACUUCUGCAUCACUAGUUAUAGCACAAUUAUUACAUAAAUCUAAAUCUAGAAUUACUCCCUAUGUAAGUCAUAUGCAAAGGCCACAAAUUUGUUGCUCAUUUUUUUUUCUUCCCAGUUUUAGUGUCCCAUUAUGACUCUGGCCCAGCAAAGCACUUAAGCAUGUGCUUAACUUCAAACACAUGAAUAGUCUACGAAUCAUGUCAUUAAGUGCUUUGCUGGGAUGGGGCCAAUGUUUAGGAAGUUAACAUCUUUUAAUAGUAGUAGCUUGUGGAUUUUUCCCCCCAAGCCCUUUUGAUUUCUUUACUGUCUCUUCAUUGUGCUAUUUUCCUCCUUUAUUAACUUUGUUACAGCCUUAGUUGUUCAAAGAAGAGGUAAAGCUGUCUGCAGGUCUAAAGCAUCAGAGACCCUGUGCAGAAACACUCCAUUCCUCCUUGCAUGUUGGAUAGAUUGCAGGAAAGAAUAAUUUGGAAGAGGCACCAGGAAGUUAGUCUGUGUGUACAUGGCAGGAAUGCUAGCUGCUGUUGUGGCAUUUCUGAAAACACGUCUCUUAAUAUAGAACCAUUUUAGCUUUAGAAUCAUGGCGCGCUCGCCUGUUUAUUACCCGGAAUGCAGCCCAUGAAACAGGUGCUUAGGGAUCUGCAGGCUUUCCUUUACAUGUAUAAGAUGAUUUUCUCUUGUCUGAAUCCUUUACAAACUCUUAAACAGUCUAUCACCUUCAAAUUUGCUUCCUCCCACACUAUUUGUUAUCCAUUAUCAGGAUAUUUCAACUACAUUUACAAUUUUGAGACUUCCUGUAUGUAUAUUGGUCUUGUUGUUGUUCUUUUUUUUCCUCAUAUGGUUCUUGCAUUAUU
Molecule: non-coding RNA, 4339 nt
Organism: Chrysemys picta bellii (western painted turtle)
Lineage: Eukaryota; Metazoa; Chordata; Testudines; Emydidae
Source: RefSeq, a predicted model, not a curated record